RNAcentral lists this ribosomal RNA (296 nucleotides) under uncultured bacterium. RNAcentral describes it as "partial 16S ribosomal RNA". It matches the Rfam family "Bacterial small subunit ribosomal RNA", at positions 775 to 1067 of the family's 1533-position model. The record is from RNAcentral.
GGAUUAGAUACCCUGGUAGUCCUAGCCCUAAACGAUGUAUGUUUGGUGUCUGGAGUUUUAAUUCUCUGGGUGCCGUCGCUAACGCUUUUAACAUACCGCCUGGGGAGUACGCACGCAAGUGUGAAACUCAAAGGAAUUGACGGGGACCCGCACAAGCGGUGGAGCAUGUGGUUUAAUUCGACGCAACGCGAAGAACCUUACCUGGACUAGAAUGCGAGGGAAGCUUGGGUAACGCCAAGCGUCUGGGCAACCAGACCCGAAGCAAGGUGCUGCAUGGCUGUCGUCAGCUCGUGCCG